RNAcentral lists this ribosomal RNA (496 nucleotides) under uncultured bacterium. Its description in RNAcentral is "partial 16S ribosomal RNA". It matches the Rfam family "Bacterial small subunit ribosomal RNA", at positions 29 to 507 of the family's 1533-position model. The record is from RNAcentral.
AUGAACGCUGGCGGCGUGCCUAAUCCAUGCCAGUCGAGCGAACAGACGAGGAGCUUGCUCCUCUGACGUUAGCGGCGGACGGGUGAGUAACACGUGGAUAACCUACCUAUAAGACUGGGAUAACUUCGGGAAACCGGAGCUAAUACCGGAUAACAUGUUGAACCGCAUGGUUUAACAGUGAAAGACGGUCUUGCUGUCACUUAUAGAUGGAUCCGCGCCGCAUUAGCUAGUUGGUAAGGUAACGGCUUACCAAGGCAACGAUGCGUAGCCGACCUGAGAGGGUGAUCGGCCACACUGGAACUGAGACACGGUCCAGACUCCUACGGGAGGCAGCAGUAGGGAAUCUUCCGCAAAGGGCGAAAGCCUGACGGAGCAACGCCGCGUGAGUGAAGAAGGUCUUCGGAUCGUAAAACUCUGUUAUUAGGGAAGAACAAAUGUGUAAGUAACUAUGCACGUCUUGACGGUACCUAAUCAGAAAGCCACGGCUAACUACGUG